RNAcentral lists this ribosomal RNA (437 nucleotides) under uncultured bacterium. RNAcentral describes it as "bacterial SSU rRNA". It matches the Rfam family "Bacterial small subunit ribosomal RNA", at positions 954 to 1392 of the family's 1533-position model. The record is from RNAcentral.
GCUAAACGCGAAGAACCUUACCCAGGCUUGACAUGCAGUAGACAGCAUCAGAAAUGAUGUCUUCCUUCGGGACUGCUGCACAGGUGCUGCAUGGCUGUCGUCAGCUCGUGCCGUGAGAUGUUGGGUUAAGUCCCGCAACGAGCGCAACCCUUGCCUUCAGUUGCCAUCGGGUAGGGCCGGGCACUCUGAAGGAACUGCCGGUGACAAGCCGGAGGAAGGUGGGGAUGACGUCAAGUCCUCAUGGCCCUUAUGGGCUGGGCUACACACGUGCUACAAUGGCGGUGACAGUGGGCAGCGAAGCAGCGAUGCGGAGCUAAUCCUCAAAAGCCGUCUCAGUUCGGAUCGCGGGCUGCAACUCGCCCGCGUGAAGGUGGAAUCGCUAGUAAUCGCGGAUCAGCAUGCCGCGGUAAAUACGUUCCCGGGUCUUGUACACACCG